UUUUACUCUUGUAAAAUGACUAAAAUCAACCAAAUUCGCCCGAUCCACCUUACCCCCCCUUUCUUCUCAUUUGACAAACCCUAGAUCCUCUCUCAUCCAUCGAUUCCCAUCCCCCAAACAACCACCUGCACAUUCAAGCCUAGAGGACGAGAUUUUUAGCCUUAAGGUCUCCCCCUGACUUCGAUUUCAACAAAGUAGAAGGUGACCCAUGGCGCAUUUACAAGGUACGGUGAGCGUGUGCUGGCACUUGGUGUGAGGCGUACGGAGGCGCACGUGGCGGCACGGAGGGUACGGAGCCAGGCUUCGGGCGCACGGAGGCCGUACAUGGGGGUUUCUGAAACUAUUUUGAUUUUGGGCCACUUGGGCCUUGAAUUUUUGGACUGUAAUUGGACUUUUAUUCUUAGGUUUAUUUAUUCUUUGAUGUGGACCCGGGCAAAUUGGCCUGCUUACAACUCGAAUUUGAGAUUUUAAAUUUUUUAAAAUCUCAAUCUUGUCAUUGAAUAAAGUCUCAUCUUUAAUUUUUUUUA
Long non-coding RNA from Gossypium arboreum, 527 nucleotides. RefSeq lists it as uncharacterized. NCBI's taxonomy places the organism in Eukaryota, Viridiplantae, Streptophyta, Magnoliopsida, Malvales, Malvaceae. The record is from RefSeq and is a predicted model, not a curated record. The transcript has 2 exons.